CCGGGGCUUCUUCUCCCGUUACCGUCAUCAUCUUCACGGGUGAAAGAACUUUACAACCCUAAGGCCUUCUUCAUUCACGCGGCAUGGCUGGAUCAGGGUUGCCCCCAUUGUCCAAUAUUCCCCA
RNAcentral lists this ribosomal RNA (124 nucleotides) under uncultured bacterium. RNAcentral describes it as "partial 16S ribosomal RNA". The record is from RNAcentral.